CCUCUCCUCUCAGGUCCCGUUACUAUCGACCUGAAAACCAAAAAAAAUGCAUCUUUCUCUCCUUUCCCAUGCGAAGAAAAUACCGAAAUCUAAACAUCAAUUCUUCAUCUCCUACUCGAUUGUUCCAACCCGACGAGAAAAUCAUUCCUACUUUUUAUCAAUCAUUCGCUUUAUAAAUCCUAAAUCGUGUUAACCAACUGAACCCUAAAUACCAUCAAAAUUAAAACAAAACCGAAGCAAUUGUUUUGAGUUUUCUCCUGCUUCUUUCUUUUUCUUCUUCUUCUUCAACAAAACCUGGAUAAUGAUUAGUCCUGUUACAAACCUAGAUGCUAAAAUUUCAUAGGGGUUUGGCUGAAUCAAUGACUCAGUGAGUAAGAUUGGUGAAUUGGUGGCUGAUCCAAAAUCCCAAUGACUACACUGAGAAACCCGACUUUUGAUUGAUAAAGUUAUCCAGUCAGGUGUAGUUCCUCGUUUUGUUCAGUUUCUUCAGGGGGAGCAAUUUCCAUAACUUCAGUUUGAGGUGGCUUUGGCUCUUAUGAACAUUGCUUCUGGAAUCUCAGAGAAUAUCAAAAUGGUCAUUGGGCAGGGAGCUAUCCGAAUCUUUGUGUCACUUCUCAGUUCCCCCAGUAAUGAUGUUCGAGAACAGGCUAUGUGGGCACUUGGAAAUGUUGUCGGUAAUUCACCUAAAUGCCGAGAUCUUGUUAAAUCAAUUAAAUGAGCAUGCCAAACUUUCUAUGCUGAUAAAUUCCACCUGGACUUUAUCUAUAAUUUUGUCGGGGUAAGCCACAGCCUUCCUUUGAACAGAGACAAAUCCAGGAAUCCUGUACUCCCUGCUCUUAAGCGUCUUAUUAACUCAACUGAUGAAGAAGUACUUACAGAUGUCUGCUGGGCUGUUUCUUAUCUGACGAUACAAAUGACUAAAUUCAAGUUGUUAUUGCAGUUGGUGCCUGUCGCCGACUUGUUGAUUUAUCGCUGUAGGUAUCACUUCAUUGUAUUAUGUUUCUUUUCCAGUCACCCAUCUCCUACUGUACUCAUUCCCGCCCUACGCACUGUUGGCAAUAUUAUUACUCGAGAUGAUCGUCAGACUCAGUGAUAUCAUUGAACUUCAAGCACUUCCCUGCCUCAUGAACAUGUUGACAUAACCAAUAAAAGAGUAUAAAGAAAGAAGCUUGCUGGACUAUCUCAAACAUUACUGCUGGAAACAAGGACAUGAAGGAUUAGCUAACUUUUUCAAACAUAAUAUAGUGCUACACUGUUUCAGAGCUUCAAGUGGUUUAUUACGUUUUCGUCGUUCUCCACAUAACAUAUAUUAGUUUCUUUUUUUGUUAUUCAGGUGGGUGAUAUAAUUGAUUAUGGUAUGUACAUAAUUUACCACAUAUAUUCUAAGGCUAUGUCCUGGAUGCUCGUUCCGACCAACGAGAUAGAGCUAAUCCUCGACGUGUAUCCAGUUCCUCUGCAGUUUGCAGGAAAGUAAAGUUUUUUCUGCUCCUUGACUUUCAUUUAUGAACAUCUUCAUUUUGAUGAACACAUCACAUUUGUUUUUUUUAGUAUUAUUGUAUCACUUUGCAUAUAUCAGUUUUUUAAAAUCAUAGCUUCUUCUGAAGCUAUGUGACAACUAAUGUGUCAUGUUUUCUAACUGUUCAUUCUCUACUGAUUAUAACGCUAGAUCAGGAUAUCAUGCACCUCUUGCUGGGAGGACAAGUAACUUCAUACUUAAGAGAGAUUAUAUUUCUGGAAACACAUCCAAACUCCCGGGUAGACCAAUCUGCAAGUGAAGAAAUGUUACUUAAUCCAUCUGUUUUAGUUUUAUUUUUAACCUUCAACUAUAUCAUUUGUUGGAAACUCAGCACUGAACUUGAAUUUCUGUGGUGUUAAGAUUUUCUGUGUUGCUUGAAUGUAAUAAAUUUAGACCUUGUAAUUCUUUUUUGAAUGAAUAAAUGAUGUUGUUGGAAA
This is an RNA transcript of Papaver somniferum (opium poppy), 1953 nucleotides long. It is a transcript of the gene named importin subunit alpha-1-like, with no coding region annotated. NCBI's taxonomy places the organism in Eukaryota, Viridiplantae, Streptophyta, Magnoliopsida, Ranunculales, Papaveraceae. The record is from RefSeq and is a predicted model, not a curated record. The transcript has 7 exons.